AUAUUGGUCAAUGGAGGCAACUCUGAACCAGCCACGUCGCGUGAAGGAUGACGGCCCUACGGGUUGUAAACUUCUUUUAUAAAGGAAUAAAGUGAGUCACGUGAGACUUUUUGCAUGUAAUGUAUGAAUAAGGAUCGGCUAACUCCGUGCCAGCCGCCGCGGUAAUACGGAGGAUCCAAGCGUUAUCCGGAUUUAUUGGGUUUACAGAGUGCGCAGGCGGAAGAUUUAGUAGGCGGUGAAAUUUUGCAGCUCAACUUUAAAAGUGCCAUCGAUACUGGUUUUCUUGAGUGUGGAUGAAGUAGGCGGAAUUUGUGGUGUAGCGGUGAAAUGCAUAGAUAUCGCGAGGAACUCCGAUUGCGCAGGCAGCUUACUAGGCCAUAACUGACGCUCAGGCACGAAGACGUGGGGAUCAAACAGG
Molecule: ribosomal RNA, 418 nt
Filed under: uncultured bacterium
Lineage: Bacteria
Description: partial 16S ribosomal RNA
Rfam family: Bacterial small subunit ribosomal RNA
Source: RNAcentral